Molecule: ribosomal RNA, 496 nt
Filed under: uncultured bacterium
Lineage: Bacteria
Description: partial 16S ribosomal RNA
Rfam family: Bacterial small subunit ribosomal RNA
Source: RNAcentral
GAUGAACGCUGGCGGCGUGCCUAAUACAUGCAAGUCGAGCGAACAGACGAGGAGCUUGCUCCUCUGACGUUAGCGGCGGACGGGUGAGUAACACGUGGAUAACCUACCUAUAAGACUGGGAUAACUUCGGGAAACCGGAGCUAAUACCGGAUAAUAUAUUGAACCGCAUGGUUCAAUAGUGAAAGACGGUUUUGCUGUCACUUAUAGAUGGAUCCGCGCCGCAUUAGCUAGUUGGUAAGGUAACGGCUUACCAAGGCAACGAUGGGUAGCCGACCUGAGAGGUGGAUCGACAACACGGAAGCGAGGAAAGGGCCAGACUCCUACGGGAGGAAGCAGUAGGGAAUCUUCCGCAAUGGGCGAAAGCCUGACGGAGCAACGCCGCGUGAGUGAUGAAGGUCCUAGGAUCGUAAAACUCUGUUAUUAGGGAAGAACAAAUGUGUAAGUAACUAUGCACGUCUUGACGGUACCUAAUCAGAAAGCCACGGCUAACUACGUG